GAAAAUGAUGAUUUUUAAUUGUCGCCCCAGUCUUACAAGCAUCUCAAUGAGAUGCUUUAAUAUGGUGAUUGACUAUUCUAUCUGAUUA
This is a non-coding RNA of Spinacia oleracea (spinach), 88 nucleotides long. The record is from Rfam. NCBI's taxonomy places the organism in Eukaryota, Viridiplantae, Streptophyta, Magnoliopsida, Caryophyllales, Amaranthaceae.